Molecule: long non-coding RNA, 206 nt
Filed under: Prunus persica (peach)
Lineage: Eukaryota; Viridiplantae; Streptophyta; Magnoliopsida; Rosales; Rosaceae
Description: long non-coding RNA (PPER_LNC008110)
Source: RNAcentral
CCACACUAACUUCCGGUGAGUUAAUUAUAAGUGAACUCUCUCGGGUCCACUCCAACAUGAAUGUUACAUCAUCAAUAAUGUAAUCCAACUCUUUUAGAGUUUUUAGUUUAAUUUCAUUCUUCAAUAUGUAGAACAUCUAUCACUUGGAGCAUUAAGAGCAUCCACGAUCAUGCUCGCUAAUUUUUAGUUAAAAUUUAGUUAAAAAC